This 413-nucleotide ribosomal RNA is filed under the name uncultured Bacillota bacterium. Its description in RNAcentral is "bacterial SSU rRNA". It matches the Rfam family "Bacterial small subunit ribosomal RNA", at positions 945 to 1359 of the family's 1533-position model. The record is from RNAcentral. Lineage: Bacteria; Bacillati; Bacillota.
UUUAAUUCGAAGCAACGCGAAGAACCUUACCAGGUCUUGACAUCCCUCUGACCGCUCUAGAGAUAGAGUUUUCCUUCGGGACAGAGGUGACAGGUGGUGCAUGGUUGUCGUCAGCUCGUGUCGUGAGAUGUUGGGUUAAGUCCCGCAACGAGCGCAACCCCUAUUGUUAGUUGCCAUCAUUCAGUCGGGCACUCUAGCGAGACUGCCGGUAAUAAACCGGAGGAAGGUGGGGAUGACGUCAAAUCAUCAUGCCCCUUAUGACCUGGGCUACACACGUGCUACAAUGGCUGGUACAACGAGUCGCAAGUCGGUGACGGCAAGCUAAUCUCUUAAAGCCAGUCUCAGUUCGGAUUGUAGGCUGCAACUCGCCUACAUGAAGUCGGAAUCGCUAGUAAUCGCGGAUCAGCACGCCG